RNAcentral lists this ribosomal RNA (879 nucleotides) under Oenococcus oeni. Its description in RNAcentral is "bacterial SSU rRNA". It matches the Rfam family "Bacterial small subunit ribosomal RNA", at positions 661 to 1533 of the family's 1533-position model. The record is from RNAcentral. Lineage: Bacteria; Bacillati; Bacillota; Bacilli; Lactobacillales; Lactobacillaceae.
GUGGAACUCCAUGUGUAGCGGUGAAAUGCGUAGAUAUGUGGAAGAACACCAGUGGCGAAAGCGGCUUGCUAGAUCGUAACUGACGUUGAGGCUCGAAAGUAUGGGUAGCAAACGGGAUUAGAUACCCCGGUAGUCCAUACCGUAAACGAUGGGUGCUAGUUGUUAAGAGGUUUCCGCCUCCUAGUGACGUAGCAAACGCAUUAAGCACCCCGCCUGAGGAGUACGGCCGCAAGGCUAAAACUUAAAGGAAUUGACGGGGACCCGCACAAGCGGUGGAGCAUGUGGUUUAAUUCGAAGAUACGCGAAAAACCUUACCAGGUCUUGACAUACCAAUGAUCGCUUUUGUAAUGAAAGCUUUUCUUCGGAACAUUGGAUACAGGUGGUGCAUGGUCGUCGUCAGCUCGUGUCGUGAGAUGUUGGGUUAAGUCCCGCAACGAGCGCAACCCUUGUUAUUAGUUGCCAGCAUUUAGUUGGGCACUCUAAUGAGACUGCCGGUGAUAAACCGGAGGAAGGUGGGGACGACGUCAGAUCAUCAUGCCCCUUAUGACCUGGGCAACACACGUGCUACAAUGGGAAGUACAACGAGUCGCAAACCGGCGACGGCAAGCUAAUCUCUUAAAACUUCUCUCAGUUCGGACUGGAGUCUGCAACUCGACUCCACGAAGGCGGAAUCGCUAGUAAUCGCGAAUCAGCAUGUCGCGGUGAAUACGUUCCCGGGUCUUGUACACACCGCCCGUCAAAUCAUGGGAGUCGGAAGUACCCAAAGUCGCUUGGCUAACUUUUAGAGGCCGGUGCCUAAGGUAAAAUCGAUGACUGGGAUUAAGUCGUAACAAGGUAGCCGUAGGAGAACCUGCGGCUGGAUCACCUCCUUUCUAAGGA